RNAcentral lists this ribosomal RNA (253 nucleotides) under uncultured bacterium. RNAcentral describes it as "partial 16S ribosomal RNA". It matches the Rfam family "Bacterial small subunit ribosomal RNA", at positions 524 to 776 of the family's 1533-position model. The record is from RNAcentral.
CACGUAGGUGGCAAGCGUUGUCCGGAUUUACUGGGCGUAAAGGGAGCGUAGGUGGACUUUUCAGUGAGAUGUGAAAUACCCGAGCUCAACUUGGGUGCUGCAUUUCAAACUGGAAGUCUAGAGUGCAGGAGAGGAGAAGGGAAUUCCUAGUGUAGCGGUGAAAUGCGUAGAGAUUAGGAAGAACACCAGUGGCGAAGGCGCUUCCCUGGACUGUAACUGACGCUGAGGCUCGAAAGCGUGGGGAGCAAACAGG